This 254-nucleotide ribosomal RNA is filed under the name uncultured bacterium. RNAcentral describes it as "partial 16S ribosomal RNA". It matches the Rfam family "Bacterial small subunit ribosomal RNA", at positions 524 to 776 of the family's 1533-position model. The record is from RNAcentral.
UACGGAGGGUGCGAGCGUUGUCCGGAAUCAUUGGGCGUAAAGGGCGCGUAGGUGGCCCGGUCAGUUCGUGGUGAAAGCGCGGGGCUCAACCCUGCGUCGGCCAUGAAUACUGCCGCGGCUGGAGCACUGUAGAGGCAGGCGGAAUUCCGGGUGUAGCGGUGGAAUGCGUAGAGAUCCGGAAGAACACCGGUGGCGAAGGCGGCUCUCUGGACAGACACCGACGCUGAGGCACGAAAGCUAGGGGAGCAAACAGG